AUUGAACGCUGGCGGCAUGCCUAGCACAUGCAAGUCGAACGGCAGCACGGUUAAGUACUUGUACUUAAUGGGUGGCGAGUGGCGAACGGGUGAGUAAUGCGCAGGAAUAUGCCUUAACGAGGGGGAUAACUUGGGGAAACUCAAGCUAAUACCGCAUAAGCUCUGAGGAGUAAAGCUGGGGACCUUCAGGCCUGGCGCUUUAAGAAUAGCCUGCGUCCGAUUAGCUAGUUGGUAGGGUAAAGGCCUACCAAGGCGACGAUCGGUAGCUGGUCUGAGAGGAUGAACAGCCACACUGGGACUGAGACACGGCCCAGACUCCUACGGGAGGCAGCAGUGGGGAAUAUUGGACAAUGGGGGCAACCCUGAUCCAGCAAUGCCGCGUGUGUGAAGAAGGCCUGAGGGUUGUAAAGCACUUUCAGUGGGGAGGAGGAUUGAUUGGUUAAGAGCUGAUUAAUUGGACGUUACCUACAGAAGAAGCACCGGCUAACUCCGUGCCAGCCGCCGCGGUAA
RNAcentral lists this ribosomal RNA (510 nucleotides) under uncultured bacterium. Its description in RNAcentral is "partial 16S ribosomal RNA". It matches the Rfam family "Bacterial small subunit ribosomal RNA", at positions 30 to 523 of the family's 1533-position model. The record is from RNAcentral.